Molecule: long non-coding RNA, 561 nt
Organism: Myotis lucifugus (little brown bat)
Lineage: Eukaryota; Metazoa; Chordata; Mammalia; Chiroptera; Vespertilionidae
Exons: 3
Source: RefSeq, a predicted model, not a curated record
CAACAACAACAACAUGAGUCAUUCGGAGCUUCCAGAAGCAUCCAGCCAGGGUCGCGGUGUGAUGCUCGCGGGGCCGUAGCGUCUGGGGUCUGCAUCCCCGGGGUGAAGUGGGGGCGGCCUCCAGGCCCGGUCCUCCGGGGGCAGCGAGGAAGCGGUUGGAGUUUGAGAUCGAGCUGGAAGGCUCCCAGACCUUGAGGAUCCUGUGCUACGAGAAGUGUUACAACAAAACGAAGAUCGCGAAGGAGGACGGCGAGAGCACCGACAGGAUCAUGGGGAAGGGCCAGGUCCAGAAAGAAAACCGCCCCAGGGAGUGGGUGAUGUGCAAGCAUUUGGGGCUCAGUCAGGAGCCGGGGAAGCCCUCGGUCCAUUCUGGGCGGUGACGGCACAGAGGAGACCGCCGUCUCCAAGGAGGCGGGUGAGGAGGGAAUGGCAUUUCCUCCUGAGCACAGCUCCGUGCUGCACCCCCCUCCCCUCAGCGGAGGGCGGGGGAGUGGGUACCCCGUGCCAGUCCACGGGUGCCCCAGCUGGCCUUGCCAACUACCAAGCAAGCAGGGCAGCUCU